UACAGAGGGUGCGAGCGUUAAUCGGAAUUACUGGGCGUAAAGGGCGCGUAGGUGGUUAGAUAAGUGAGUUGUGAAAUCCCUGGGCUUAACCUAGGAACUGCAACUUAUACUGUUUGACUAGAGUACGGUAGAGGGCAGUGGAAUUCCCGGUGUAGCGGUGGAAUGCGUAGAGAUCGGGAAGAACAUCAGUGGCGAAGGCGGCCUGCUGGGCUGUUGCUGACGCUGAGGCGCGACAGCGUGGGGAGCAAACAGG
RNAcentral lists this ribosomal RNA (253 nucleotides) under uncultured bacterium. RNAcentral describes it as "partial 16S ribosomal RNA". It matches the Rfam family "Bacterial small subunit ribosomal RNA", at positions 524 to 776 of the family's 1533-position model. The record is from RNAcentral.